UGCCAGCCGCCGCGGUAAUACUGAAGGUGCAAGCGUUAAUCGGAAUCACUGGGCGUAAAGCGCUCGUAGGUGGCUUUGUAAGUCAGAUGUGAAAGCCCACGGCUCAACCGUGGAAUUACAUUUGAUACUGCAUCGCUAGAGUAUAGGAGAGGGAAGUGGAAUUUCUGGUGUAGGAGUGAAAUCCGUAGAGAUCAGAAGGAACACCGGUGGCGAAGGCGGCUUCCUGGUCCAAUAUUGACGCUGAGGUGCGAAAGCGUGGGGAGCGAACAGGAUUAGAUA
This 279-nucleotide ribosomal RNA is filed under the name uncultured bacterium. RNAcentral describes it as "partial 16S ribosomal RNA". It matches the Rfam family "Bacterial small subunit ribosomal RNA", at positions 506 to 784 of the family's 1533-position model. The record is from RNAcentral.